UCUGUUCCGGGCCCGCCUCUUCCGGGCAGGCCGGCCCCCCGCCGUGGAGGGCGCAGCUCGGCCCCGGAAGGGCUUCGACGCGCGCCCGGGGGCGGCUGGCUGCUGACCCCCCACAGGCCUUAGCAAGGUUUGGGAGCUAGGGUCGGGCUGGGAUUACAGCUGGAAACCCAUGUGGGAUCACCGCGAACCACAGGCCUCUGCCAGCAGGAAGAGGGCUAGGAAGAGCCCUGCCCGAGCCGAAGCACGUGCCGGCCUGGCAGCUGAUGAGCCCUCGAGCAUGAAUAAGGAAUAGGCGCGGGCUGGGAUCCUGGGGGGAAAUCCUUUUCAGGUCGCACCAGCCACGCAGCUCUGCCACUGGGGGACUCUUCCCGAGGAGGCUAGGCGAGUCCUGCCCACCCCAAAACUUGGUUUGUGAAUGCCAAGCUGUGAGCUCACAGGCCCCAGGCCUUACUUCACAUUUUUGCCCCCAUCUCUUGAUUUCCAGCCAGAAAAAAAUGUUGCAAUUAUACCUGGGUAGUGAGGAAUUCAGCUUCUAAAAGCAAUCUCGGAGGCUGAUUAGGUGUGCCUGACCACUUAGGAGUUCAGAUGUAGUCACAUGACUCCAAGACUUCCCCUAGCACAUGACUGGGGGACAGCGGGGAGAGGAGCAACUUAUUUUUCUAUGGUCUCCAUUGCUAGUGGUCUGUCUUGCUGCGAUGAGCUUUGCAGUCCUGCUUAUUUAGUGCUGAACAUUGGUUUGUGACUCUCUAUUAAUUUCUAGCAUAAAAAGGUGACAGAGAUGCCUGGGGAAGAUGUAAGUGGAAGCGCUGAUUCUAAGGAGGAUCUAUUCAGUGCUUUUCUGCAUGAAUUGCAAUGGUUAGAGAAAGAAGGCUUCCAAAAGGAGGAGUCAGUUUGGGGCUGCAUUGCUGGUAGGCUUCAUAGAAAUACACCAAAGCCAAUGUGGGGACAGUCCAUGCUGUUUUUCAUGCACAAUUCUGUACAACACUCUCGUACCAGUUUCCCAUUCUAUGGGGUCACUUAAAUAGCCAAACUCUUUGUCCAUCCAUUGUUGUUUCAAGCCUAGAGUCUUCGCAACAUGAAGACGAAUUUCUUGCACAGUUUAUAUUAGCUUUUGGACCCCCACGUCCGUUAGAACCUUUGGUUGACAAUCAUCUAUGAUCCCGGAUUCAGUCCACCAAUUUUCUGAGAGGCGCAAAUUAUUUGUCUGCUGGUCAUUGCCAAAUGAGGUGUGGCUCCAUGGACCACCACACUGCCUUUGAUGGCCAUCAAAAUUAAUGGUAAGUUCAUAUCCCAGUUGUUUCCACUUGUCUGUACUACUUUGCGUAUAGCUGUUCUCAGUGUUUUGUUAGACCUCUCUACUUGUCCAAAUGACCUGUUUUGGGGAUGACCUGCUAUAUGGAGAUGUUGCUUAAUUCUAAAUGCCAAGCAUAUUUCUUUUGUGAUUUGUCCAACAAAAUGAGGACCCUGAUCUGAGUUAAUACAAUGAGGAGUUCCCCAUCUAGAGAAUACUACCUCGAUUAGUAUCCUCUCUGUGGUCUUGGCAGUAUUAUUCCUGGUGGGAAAGGCUUCGAUCCAUUUUGUAAAUGAAUCUACUAUAACUAAACAAUAAAGAUUGCCUCUUUCUGUCUUUGGCAAUACCCCAAUAAAAUCUAUUUGAAGAUGGGUCCAUUGUUCCUCAACAUGUUGGUGUCUUAAAGGUCCUUUAACCACCUUAUUUCAUAGAUUUCAUAGACAUCAGGGCCGGAAGGGACCUCGGAAGAUCAUCGAGUCCAGCCCCCCGCCCAAAGGGCAGGACGUCAGCUGGGGUCAUAGGAUCCCAGCAAGAUAAGCAUCCAGUUUCAUCUUGAAGGUGUUCAAUGAAGGCGCUUGAACAACCUCCGGCGGCAGGCUGUUCCAGACCUUGGGGGCUCGGACAGUAAUGAAGUACUUCCUUAUGUCCAGCCUGAAACAGUCACAGAGCAGUUUGUGACUGUUCGAUCUUGUCAUCCCUUGGGGCGCUCUGGUGAACAGAUGUUCCCCCAGAUCCUGAUGAGCACCCCUGAUAAACUUAUAGGUAGGCACCAGAUCGCCCCGAGCCUCUGCUUUUCCAGGCUGAAGAGUCCCAUAGCUCUCAGCCUGUCAUCUUAAGGUCUGUUUUCCUGACCUCUGAUCAUGUGUGUGGCUCUUCUCUGGACUCUCUCAAGCUUUUCCACAUCCUUUUUGAAUUGUGGAGCCCAAAACUGGAUGCAGUACUCCAGCUGCAGCCUCACCAGGCCAAGUACGACAGGAGAAUGACGUCCUGGGAUUUGCUUGAGAAGCAUCUAUGGAUGCAAGCCAGUAUUUUGCUCGCUGUACUAGCUGCAGCAUCACAUUGAAGGCUAAUGUUUAUCUUGUGGUCAAUGAUGACCCCCAAGUCCUUUUCAUCCAAAGUGCUAGCCAGUGUAGCACUGCUGAGCCUAUAAGGAUGCUGCAGGUUUUUCCUCCCAAAGUGGAGAACCUUGCAUUUUUCGGUGUUAAAUGCCAUCAGGUUCUUGUCUGCCCAUUUCUUGAGCCUGUCAAGGUCAGCCUGCAUUGCCCUCCUGUCCUCAGGUGUGGACGCUUUACCCCAAAGUUUGGUGUCGUCUGCGAACUUGGCCAGCCCUCUUCUGAUGCCAAUGUCCAUAUCAUUAAUGAAGAUGUUGAAGCAUAUAGGCCCAAGGACAGAGCCUUGAGGAACCCCACAGGUCACAGGGCAAAUGCCCAUGAUCGUGUGUGUGAGAGAGUAAUUCAUGCUGAACACUUUUAGGUACAACCCAGAUGGGAGGAUCUUCUUCCUUUCUGGCUAAAACUAGUUUGGAGGACUCCUGCCAAAUACUCCAGGUUCUAAGUUUCUUUUGCCCCACUAAUUUUUGAAUUUCAACAUCCCUUUUCUGUUAGCCAGUUAAAUCAAUUGGAUCGGGGAUGGUGGGAGUAUUCAUAGAAUCAUAGAAGUAGGGUCGGAAGGGACCUUGUAGAUCUUCAAGUCCGACCCCCUGCCUGGGCAGGAGGAAAAUUGGGCUCAAAUGACCCCAGCCAGGUAGGCAUCAAGCCUCUUCUUAAAGACCCCCAGGGUAGGAGCCAGCACCACUUCCCUUGGAAGUUGGUUCCAGAUCCUAGCCGCCCUGACUGUGAAGUAGUUCUUAUGGAUGUCUAAUCUAAACCUACUCUCCAACAGCUUGUGGCCGUUAUUCCUUGUUAUCCCUGGGGACGCUAGGGGAAACAAGGUCUCCCCCAAACCCUUCUGGUCCCUCCUGGUGAGUUUAUAGACAGUCACCAGGUCCCCCCUCAGCCUUCUCUUGUGAAUGCUGAACAGGUUCAGGUCCUGUAGCCUCUCAUUGUAGGGUCUGCCCUGCUGUCUGUAUAUUUUGAGACGGGAGAUCUCCAUCUGAGGCAUAAUCCAUUCAGGGCCAGAUUUAGCUCCCACCUUUGCAGCAGCAUCUGCCUGAUUGUUGAAAUCGAAUUUGGGUCUACCUUUGUGAUCUACUUUUCCCAGUCGAACUUGAUUGCUAUGCUACAAGGUGCCAGGCUAGUUGCAGUUUCAACAGGUGGGCAAUAGGCUUACCAUCUGACAAUUUGAAUCCUGAGAGACAGUCUAUCAAUGCAUGAAUGAUCCAAUCGCUAUCUGAAAACAUGACUACAUCAUGCCACAAUGGUAGCAACAAUCUCAGCUGAGUGUGCUCAGUGGGGUGAACAACUCCCACUUACAACCUUUUCCACACUUUGAUUAGAUGACACUCUUACUGCAGUGUAACCUGUAUAUGCUGUUCCAUCGGUAUGGUAGGAUGACCCAUCUACAAACCAGGUGAUGACAUUAGGAUCCUGAGGAGGAUAGGUUUCUCCUCCUGUAUACCAGGCAUUUUCUGGUUCAGGAUUAUCUAUGGACACAGGAAAUAGGCAUUCAUGAUUAUCACCAUCUAUACGUAGCCCAUAUGGGGCCACUGGGGUGAUUCCCAUGACUUCAGUGUUAAUGCCAGUUUGGCAGCAUAAUGAUCCACUUUGCAAUAUCUGGAGAGGACGCUCCACUCUUUGGUUUUUCCAGAUAGUAUGUACUUGAUAGGUGUAUGUGAUGUUUUAAGUGUAAUGGGCUCCAUGCUCAGGAGGUACCUCCAGUGAUGUACCGUCCACACAAGUGCCAGAAUUUCUCGUUCGCAUGAAGAAAAUUCUCUUUCAACAGCUGUCAGGGUCCUGGAAGCAUAGUCCACUGAUCUCUUACGGCUGCCAUGAUCCUGUGAGAGACUAGCUAUAAUAGAACAGUUAGUUGUUGCUAAUUCAAGUAUAAGGGGACUAUUUACAUGAGGCUAUGCCAAAGUUGGGGCCUUUGUGACAGCAAUUUUAAGCUGUUUAAUGUCCUUGUAGCAGAAAGCCCCCUUUUCCUCUUGCCUGCAUUUGCUCUCACUCUCUUUGGAUAUGUUUCCCUCUUUCUACCUUUUCUUCCUUCCUCUCUCUUUCACUUUAAGAUAAGGAAUUGUGUUUUAAAAUUUGUAUGUGUGCAUUUUGUAUCUCCCCUUGUAGUUUGGUAUUUUUAUCUAUUUGUGUGCCAUGGCAUUGGUAGCUUAUAUUUUAUACUCCUCACCUUUCAACUUUCAACUAAAUGUGUUUUAGUAAGUUAUACAUUGUAACAAUGUUAACAAGGGUAGGAACCAAACUGUCCUUCACUGUAUCAGGCUGGCCCCUGAAAGAGGGAGUGAAUCAGUGAUUGAAUGUGUAACAAGGUAGCACACAGCAAUUAACACCUGGAAAGCUGCAGAUCAGCCAAGGAAGAACUCAAUAGAAGACAAUGUAGCAACCGGGAAAUCUCUAAACGUCACUGAUCAAGGGCUAGAAGCCCUGGCCUGAGUUAAUCAACGCUGGGGACCAACUUUUGGGCUGAGUAUCUCCAGAUCAACCGCUCCCAGAGCCCUAUUCGAAAUUCAUCAACGGACUCCCAAACCUGCACGUACAUGCGGGCGACCCCUGGGGCUGAUAGAUGCCGUCCAGUAGCCACCGGGGGGGGGGGGGGGGGGGGAAGUCCCACGAGGGUCAAUGACCCCUGGAUUGGGCAAACCUGAAAACUGGGGAGUCACCAAAGUCUGCCAGGGACAGAUAAAAGGCAGUGAAAAGUGACCCUCAGGGGCGCCCUCUUGAUCUCCAACUUGACCAGACCUGUCCAGCCAGAAGGACCAGCCGGCGACCCCCUUCUGGAAGAUAACACCACGCUGAAAGAAGCCUCAACGACAGACUGCAGUGCUUGUAGGAUAGGUAUACCUGACUCUGUAGCCUGUUACUAUGCGUGUGUGCAUGUGUGUGUCUGUGUGUGUGGGGUCCAGCCCCAAGGUUUAUGAUUACAGUGUUUCAAUCCGCCUAAUAAACUAGAAUUUUAAGGAUCCCGAGUUGGACAUUUGUAGCUAACAUUAUUUGUUGGAGAACGCAGGCAUUCUAGGAUUAUUAGCAGGUUGGUAAUUGGGGAGACUGUGUCUCCAGAUAGAACCCACGUCCAUGGAGGUGGGUGGGCAAUAGUCACCCAAGGGGAUGGACUAGGAUUUAGACUCACCCAAGGGGGUGGGCAGACUCAAGGAGGGUCUGGAUUUAGUAGUCACCCAAGGGGGUGGACAUAUCUCAAGGAAGGGAUUUGGUUGUAGAACUGCAGGGACAGGGACAGAGUCGGUUGGGAGCGCGAGGGCUCAAGGAAACUGACAGGCUUGAGGCAUGUUGAGGGAAAUGUCUUUGUUUACGAAAAAAACCCCUAAGGUUGGAGCAGGAGGCCAAGAAGAUAAGUGGGUACAGUGCGGAAGGAGGAAAUUUCCCCUCUCCAUAGGGAGAUUCUGAAGGGUGGACCCAGCCCAUGGAGGGAGGAUGUGUGCACCCCAGGCUUUUCCAUAGGGGACAUCGAAUCCCAAUUUGAAAGAUUUUGCCUUUGUGAAAAACCCUUGGUUCAAAGGCAACACAGUGCCUUGGUCUGGCUGCUAUGGCAUGCUGUAAAAACAGCAGUUGAGGAAAAAGCUCUGCGAGCCUCUGAAAUUGAGGAAAAGGAGGAGCUAAUCCAAAUUCUAAAAGAUAGAUGUAUUCAAUUGGAAACCAGGAAUCAGACUCUAAAGGGGUUGUCUCGGAACUUGAUUUAUUUUUCCCAAUUGCUCAUUUUCAUUUUCCAAGACAAUGCCCAACAAUUGGAAUUAUUGACCAAGAAAAGGCUAGCCGAGAAGCCUUGCAAAAGUUGGUAAAAACAAUGGCUAAAGACCAAGCUGAGAAGGGAGCCAAGGCCAACCAUGGCCCCUGUCUAAAUACCAUUAACCGUUUAAAAAAGGAACUCCAGGAGUGCAGUCUGCAAGUAGCAGCUGUCAUCCGGGGAGACCAAGCCAGGGAUCCAGACAUCCCCUUCAAUCCAGGAGAGAUUUGGGGUGGGGAGAUAUGGGGAGACCCAGAGGAUGCAGGGGAGCCCUCUCCUGAAGACCCCAAGUCAGAUCAGGAAAGGACCCUGGUGCCUGAGGUGAGCGCAAUCACGCGGACCUCAGUCACUUGGGAUGCUCAGGGAAAACCCACAGAAACCACACAGGUAACGGUCCCCCUCAGUGGAGCUGAUCUAGCAGCCCUGGGCAAGACCCUGGGAUCUGCUAACAUUAGGAAUUUGGGACAGUGGUUGCAGAAAUCCCUGAAUGUAGUGGAGUGUGAAACUCUGAGUGUCCGGGAAUGGCACUGCCUACUAAGGGCUUGUGCCACCCCAGAGAUUCAGGCAGCUAUGAAUCGGGAAGACAGCUUUGGGGGAGACAAUAUUCUCCAGAGCAUAGUGGAUUUGGGGAUCAGUUUGGGAAGAAAGACAUUUAAGGGACAGUUUGGGGCUAGCCACCAGACACCUGGGGAACAUGUUAGGGUCUAUGUGAUCCGGUGUGUUAUGUUGGGGACAUCGGACAUAAGAAGUAUAGAUUACCCUCCUGGGUUUUGGAAGGAGGUACAGGAAGGCAUGCAUCAGCCCAUAAUUGGACUGUUGGGACUGCUCCGAGAGACUGGGAGAUAUGUGCUGGGAGAAGUCCUAGCCUGGGCUCAGGAUGCAGAGAGGUUAAUUGGACGUCAAGGGGGUGCGAUUGCAGCCACCCAGUUCAGAGAAAAGCUUAAUGACACACCAAAUUAUAUGGUUACCUAUUCUAAUGGAAGUGCCUACCCCAAAACUGAUAGGGGGGUUGGGGGUCCAAAUUAUCGCCCCAGCCCACACUGGGUUAACCCAAGGGUAUCAAAGGAAGAGAAGGGGAAAAUGGGAUUCGGUCAGCAGUGUGGAAGUUUUUAAAGCAGCAUGGAGAACCGAGAGGGAAAUGGCAUGGAAAGCCUCUAGCCGAGCUGCUUAUCAGAAUGGCAGAGCUGACUGGGGAGGGAGCAGCACCUCCCCUUUCUAACAGGGUAGCAGCCUCAGCCCUAGUCUCUGAGAAGCACUGACGGAGCCCCCGUAAUGGGACCCCUGAGCAAAGCCCUGGCUCAUGGGAAAAAUUGGGGACCCUUGAUUGGGAUCCAGGUGGCAGACCCCGAAUACCUGUUACGGUGGGAACUCAGGGGCAUACCAGUGCACUCCUGAACACCAGGCUGCACUAAAUGUAUUCGGGAGGAAAUGGGACCUAAAUCAGGAAAAUGGGUACAUGUGUCCCAAGAAACUGUUUAAGGGGGCAGAAUAGAUCUAACCCUGAAUUUAGCCUUGUUAAUAGGAUUCCUUGUGUCAUGAGGAGAGCAUCCCAGUGACCCAGCUUGGAGAAAAGAAAAAAAAGUGAGCCACCAACCACCUGACCCUUGAGGAACAGGGCAACCAAUCUUUUAAUCCUGCCGGCCACCCUUCUUGGCUAGCAGGAAGGAACGGCUCUGAGCCAUUGGAAAAUACGCAUCGGACGGGCUGAUCAGUGCCCACCCCGAUGCUGAGGCAGGAAAAGGCCAAAAAAAAAAAAAAAUCCUCAGUUAGGAUGGCCACCCUCCUGUAGGUAACUGCUCCACUUUUGCAGUAUAAAAGAAAAGCACCCCAAGAAGGGAAAAUGAUGUGUGCACUGCCACUGCACAUAUCAGCAUUGCACUUUGUAAAUAUGAAUAAUCAGCCACUGCAAGGAGUUUUCCUUGGCAGGUUUGUGUGUGUUUGUUUUCUUUUGCAGAAACCACAGUGUAGUCAAAAGUGACCGACAAACCAUGAGGCCUCACUAGCAUCAGCAGCGUCUUCCUCAUCACAGCCAUGGCAAAAAUUGUCUUGUCUGUUUGUGUUGUCUUGUUAUAUGUUUAGUGUUUGUGUCACAACCCAAGGGUGUGAUUUUUUGUGUGUGUGUGCUUCGGCACUGCUAAAUUAUUUCCCGCCAUGAGGAGCUUUCUUUGCAGGGUGCACUUCUCAGUUGCAAAGAGAAAUGCACGGUGCAAAGGAGUUCCCGCCACCCACAUGCAAAUUUAUGUCCCACUAUUAGCUGUUUCUAAAUUAUUCCCACGUGGCGGCUAGCGAUUGGCUUGCUAGCCAUAUAAGAGGCUUGAGUGGUUUCCGUCCAAGUUGGAGGGCUCCACAACCAUCUGGAGGAGGAGGACUUCACGUCCUGUGAAGAACUCUAAGCGCUGCAGAGCCUAACUGACCCAGCGUGUGCCUUAAGAAGGCUAUAGGGGUCUGAUCAACCUCUGGCCUCUCCCCAUCACUGAACAAUCCCUCGACGAACCCUUUCCCUGCGCGCAAGUUCCACGGAGCCUAGCAAACUUCGUGUGAGUGUAUCCAGAGCUCUGUCCAAGUUAUUUCAAGAAGCUCGAGUUUUCAGUGGCUCUCUUUCGAGUUUGUGUUGUGGAGCCUAGCAAACUCCACGUGUCUGUCUGUAACUGCAACUCAAGCAAGUUUUCCUGCCUGCACCGCGACCAUCUACGGUGUAAGUAAAAUAAUCUUUAAUCAACUGCUACGCAUCCGUGCCUAAUUCUAGUCCGCCAGCCUGCAUUCCCCGACUCGCGUGCAAGGGCUGCUGGCCACAGCCCGCCAUGCGCCCCCGAGGGCCUCGGACUGCUCCCGGCCCGCACAGUUUGUUUGUUUGGUUUGUUUUAAGUUGUCACAGUUUAAAUACAUAUGAUAUCAUAAAAAUAUAAUAAGAGUAAUUGGUAAUACCUCCUCUAUAAAUUGGACCUGUCUGUGGAUCCCAGACCAGAACACUUCUGUCCGGUUGGACUGGAAAGUUGUUCUGAUAUUUGAAACAAGGGCAGCAAUUCUCAAAAGGUCUUAUAUUCCACUUGGUUAGCAAAAGGAUAUUUAUUAAGGGUCAUGUGUACUUUUUGGGCGGGGGUUAGUUUUGUUUUUUCUCUGUACUUCUCUUAAGGAUUUAAAUGCUAUUUAGAAUAUCAGUAUAACAAGAUGUGUGUAAAAAAAAAAACACAAAACCUGCAUUCAAAGUCAUAUUUUAAUAAGCAAAGAGACAACUAUACCAUUGUAACUGUUCAAAUCAACCUCGUUAUGUUAUUUUUCUCUCUCCGCCCCUCAAGGCUUUUCUCUUUCAAUAUCUUUUAACUGCCUAAGUUUUAACUUUAAACCAGCUGAAGAUGACACACCUCCUGUCUAUAUAGCUGAACAAUGGUGUUCAAACAAUAUAGUGACAUCACCCUUGUGUAAGGCCGAUGUCAAGGGGGGGAACAAUGUAGCAGAAAGCCCCCUUUUCCUCUUGCCUGCAUUUGCUCUCACUGUCUUUGGAUAUGUUUCUCUUUUUCUACCUUUUCUUCCUUCCUCUCUCUUUCACUUUAAGAUAAGGAAUUGUGUUUUAAAAUUUGUAUGUGUGCAUUUUGUAUCUCCCCUUGUAGUUUGGUAUUUUUAUCUAUUUGUGUGCCAUGGCAUUUGUAGCUUAUAUUUUAUACUCCUCACCUUUCAACUUUCAACUAAAUGUGUUUUAGUAAGUUAUACAUUGUAACAAUGUUAACAAGGGUAGGAACCAAACUGUCCUUCACUGUAUCAGGCUGGCCCCUGAAAGAGGGAGUGAAUCAGUGAUUGAAUGUGUAACAAGGUAGCACACAGCAAUUAACACCUGGAAAGCUGCAGAUCAGCCAAGGAAGAACUCAAUAGAAGACAAUGUAGCAACCGGGAAAUCUCUAAACGUCACUGAUCAAGGGCUAGAAGCCCUGGCCUGAGUUAAUCAACGCUGGGGACCAACUUUUGGGCUGAGUAUCUCCAGAUCAACCGCUCCCAGAGCCCUAUUCGAAAUUCAUCAACGGACUCCCAAACCUGCACGUACAUGCGGGCGACCCCUGGGGCUGACAGAUGCUGUCCAGUAGCCACCGAGGGGGGGGAGGGGGGGAAGUCCCACGAGGGUCAAUGACCCCUGGAUUGGGCAAACCACAAAACUGGGGAGUCACCAAAGUCUGCCAGGGACAGAUAAAAGGCAGUGAAAAGUGACCCUCAGGGGCGGCCUCUUGAUCUCCAACUCGACCAGACCUGUCCAGCCAGAAGGACCAGCUGGCGACCCCCUUCUGGAAGAUAACACCACGCUGAAAGAAGCCUCAACGACAGACUCCAGCGCUUGUAGGAUAGGUAUACCUGACUCUGUAGCCUGCUACUGUGUGUGUGUGUGUGUGUGUAUGUGUAUGCAUGUGUGCAUGUGUGUGUGUGUGUGGGGACCAGCCCCAAGGUUUAUGAUUAUAGUGUUUCAAUCCGCCUAAUAAACUAGAAUUUUAAGUAUCCCGAGUUGGACAUUUGUAGCCAACAUCCUCAUAAUUUUCGGGACCCCACUUCCAGGGCACUCCUUUCUUUAAGAGAUGGUACAGGGGUGCUGCAUUUUCUGCAAAGUUUUCAAUAAUCAACAAUCAUCAAACACAUCCCACAUUUGGGUAACAAAACAGUGGCAAUAUACAGGGGAAUUAUUGAACCCCUGUGGUAGGCAUGUGAAAGUGUAGUGUUGUUUGUUAAAAGAAAAGGCAAAUUUGUACCAACAACUUUCUGCAAGUAGUAUUGUGAAGAAUGCAUUCACAAAAUCCAGGACCAAGAACCACGGGGCACCACUGGAAAUUGCAGCCAUUACCUCUGAAUAUUUCACAACAAUGGGUGCCAAAGGUGGAGUGUGGCAAUUCAACACUCAAUAAUCCACAGUUAAGUGCCAGGUUAUUCCAUCUGCUUUCCUCACCAGCCAGAUCAGUGAAUUACAGGUGCUUCGAAUCUCAAUGAUCACAUUCUGUUCUAAUAAAGCAUUGAUGGUGACUUUUGUACUGGACACAGCUUCAUUGAGAAAUUUAUAUUGGCAUUGGAGUGGAGGGUCGGUUCCCUGAACCCUUACCUCCUGAUCACUUCUCCGACAGAAGAGCUUUGACCUACCCCAGACCAAUUGGAAUUUACUGGCCAUCUCAAGUAUGUCUCCUUGCCAUGCAUGCAGGGACAACUCUUCACUUGUUUUUAUCAUAGCACAGUGGAGACAGGCAGGUACCUCUAGAAUCUCUGCCUGUUGUGGCUUCAAACCUCCAAUUCAAAUUUCCCUAUUGAGCAAGUCAAUCGCCAUGCCAAACUUCUGCAUGAUGUCCAUGCCCAAUGUUGUUCCUAUACCACCCAGUUUCAACAAGCCAAAUUUAGACACUUCAUUUUGGUUUCCAAUUCAGAAUGGCUUCAGGUCAGUGAACCCCACUGAACUUGCAUUCCCAUUGAAGCCUUCUAAUCUUUUACAGGUCACAGGUGUCCAGUUUUUGAAGACCCUGCUCUCAUUGCUAACCAAUGUGAAUGUGGCAUCUGUGUCCAAUAACAUGUUUUGUCUUCUUUCACACCUCAGUGUUUCUUGUUGGUCCCCAAAAGCCACUGGGAUCAAUGACUGUUCCCAAUCAUCAAAAUUUAAUGGUGCCAUGGUCACCUGGGGAGGCCUGAGAAACACUAGGCUGUCUCAGUGAUCUGAGACUGAGGAAACACUCCUUGGAGGCUCUGCCUCAACCUUUUCUACACUACUAGAAUUAUAUCUAGCUUUCACAACCUUCUUCUCACAAUGAUCUGUAAGCCUCUUUAACAUAUCUUAACAUAUUCUCAUAUUGUAACAGUUCCUUCCACACAGCGUACCUUAAGUUAGAAGGACGCUUCUAUCAAUCAAAAUACCUUUUUCCCUCCUGGGAACCAUCACAAUUUCUCCUCGAUUCAAGUUGCUUCCGACUCAGGUUAUCCUUAACAAAACACACCCUCUAGUAUCAUUGCCACUUGCAGGACUGGAGUUGCCUCCGCUACUAUUCUACUCAUUGGGCUUAGGCUUUCAUUUCCAAUAGCUUUCCCCCUUACCCUGCUUCCCUUCAGAAGCCUUUGCGCUAACUACUGCAAUCUUUCCUUUAUGGGAAGGAUCUUGCUCUGAUUGAUUCAUUUCAUGCCCCUCACAGGCUCAGCGAGCCAAUUCCUCAAGUUCCAAUUCGGCAGCUCCAACUCCCAGGUAGGUUUUCAGCUGCCUGGUUAGCCGUUGUAAUAAUGUUGACUACAAAAGACCAACUCACAGGAUCACCAUACAAUUCUAGUUUAUUAGACGGGUGCAAAAGUCAGAUCAUAAAUCUUGGGGCUGAAACCCUGAAACACACACACAUUCACGCACACACACACACCCACACCCACAACACCUAGCUAUGAAUGCUAAGCACCAGUGUCAAGAUAUACCUAUCCCCAAGUGCUGGAGUCCGCCGCUGAUAGCCAGUCGAGGCUUCUUUCAGUGUGAUGUUGCUUCGGAAGGGGGUCGCCGGCUGGUCCUUCUGGGUGGGCAGGCAGGAUGCUGGUCGGGUCAAAGAGGGCAGCAUUGGAGUUCAUCCUUCACAGCCUUUUAUCCCUCUCUGGCAGACUUUUGUGACUCCCCAAUUUUCAGGCUUACCCAAUCUAGGGGUCAUUGACCUUGUGAGAUGUCCCCCUUGGUAGUUGCUGGAUGGCAGGUGUCAGUCCCAGGGGUCACAUCUGCAGGUACGUGCAGUCUCAGGUGUCCAUUGAUGAAGUUUGAUUAAUUCACUGCUGUGAUGAAUAGGGCUCUGGGGGCAGCUGAUCGGGGGUUGAAGGUAUUCAGUCCCAAGAGUCAGUCUUCACUGUUGAUUAGUUCAAACCGGGGCUUCUGUACUGUUAACAGUGAAGUUUCAGGGAGUUACUGGCUUUCCUCUCCUUAGCCUGUGGUUUCCUAGGUGUUAAUUGCCGCUCCUUAACUUGUUAUCCUGUCUAGCUACUGUGUUACGCAAUCAAUCAAGAUUCAUUCAGGGACCAGAAGCUGGGGUUCAAUUCAUGCCCUUACUAACAUUGGUACAUGGUGUGUGGGCCGGGAGCGGUCCGAGGCUUUUGGGGGUGCGUGGCGCGGGCUGUGGCCAGCAGCCCUGGCAUGUGGGUCGGGGAAUGCGGCACGACAGACUAGAAUUAGGCACGGACUCGUAGCGGUUGAUUAAAGAUUAUUUUACUUACACCGUAGAUGGUUGCGGUGCAGGCAGGAAAAACUUCGCUUAAGUUGUAGUUACAAACGAAAAGAAAAUUCGCUCGAACAAGACCCGUAGAAAACUCGAGCCUCUUGAAACAACUCGGACAGAGCUCUGGAUACACACACACACGAAGCUUGUUAUGGUAUGUCAAGGGAUCAGGCGGCGACGGGGAGAGGCUAGAGGUUGAUCAGGCCCCUGUAUCCUCCUCUAAGGCACACGCUGGGUUCGUUGAACUCUACAGCGCACUUAGAGUUCUCCACAAGAUGGUUGUGGAGUCCUCCCUUGCGGGGUUCUCCUCGGAGUUCUCCAACUUGGGCGGAAACCCCUCAAGCCUCUUAUACGGCUAGCAAGCCAAUCGCUAGCCGCCACGUAGGAAUAAUUUAGAAACAGCCAAUAGUGGGACACAAAUUUGCAUGCGAGUGGUGGGAACUCCUUUGCACUGGGGUUUUCUCCAUGCAACUGAGAAUUGCACCGUGCAAAGAAAGCUCCUGUGGCGGGAAAUAAUUCUGCAGUGCCGAAGCACACACAAAAUCAUACCCUUUGGGUCAUGACACAUGGUACAACUUACUUUUAAACUUAAAGUACAUUUGUUACAAAGUUAAAAAGCAUAGUAUAUAAAAAAUAAAAGGGUAAAAUGCCAUGGCACAUACAACAAAUAGACCAAAUACAAUGGGGGGGGGGCAUACUGAUGCAGAAUACUAUUUUAUACCCAUAAAAAUCAUCUAUAAACUAUAUUUUUAUUACAAGUACACCUUAUAUUCUAUAAAAGUAAUAAUAAUAUAAUAAAAGAAGAGGAGGGAGGAAGGAAGAAAAGGUAGAAAAGAUAAAGCAUCCCCAAAAGGGGGCAAAUACUGCAAAAGGGGCUUUUUCCAUAUGGAGGGGCUUCACAUUGGAGGUGGGGGGGGCAGGCAAAAACAAGAUUUCUUGCUACACCAAUGGCACUUUAAAGGUUCUCACACUGAAGUUGGGGUAUACCCCACUCCUGCCUAGGGGCAAAUCGGCUGCCAAAUACAACAACUUCUUUUGCUCUAUGUACACCUCUGGCCUUUCUCUAACACGAUGUUUCUCAUUGUGAAACAUCACAAUGGUUGGUUUAUCAGGAAAGAAAAACCUCAGCAAUGUUUCUCUAAUUGCAUCCUUGUCUCUGAUCAAUCCAUUUUGCAUACAGACUGGCAAUGCUACAAAAUCCUUGGGGUCCAUACAUUCCUGAGCAACAUCAAUUAAAUCUUUGGCUGUAUACAUCUCUUCCCCCCCAGCAGGCAUUACAUUUGUUAGCCAGGCUACAACUGUCUCCUUUUUUAAUGGGCCUAGUUGCUUUCCCACUGCAUGAAGCUGCUCAGCAGAGAGUGGCACUAUAGUUUCCACUCCUUCCUUUGGCUGGCAUUUUACUUGUGCCUGGACAAGUCACCUCCUUGACUCUAAGCGGUGACAUUGGAGCACUAGACUCCAUGGAAGAAAGCUGAGUCUCCUGUCCAUUAGCAGCCCCAAACAUGUCAACAUAAUCACUACUGGAACUGGAACUGAGUCCACUCACACUGUCACUGUCACUAUCAUUCUCCUCUAUUUUACAGCAUGCUUUCCUCCUGGUUAGGAUAUCUCUAGCUAAGUAGCUAUUGGCAGCUUUGCUUUCAACAAGGCAAUAGUUUUCAUACAUUCUGUGUGACUAACUUUCUUUCACUGUCAUAUACUCUUAAAAGCUGCUUGGCAAGUCCUGUGCUUUUCCCCAUCAUUUACAGACUUCUUGUUCUAGGUCCUCUAUGUGCUGUUGUAAGCUUUUUACAGUCUGUUCUAAUUCCAUGAUAUGGCUUGCAUCUUUCCAACUGCUACCUAGCCAUACACUGAUCUUAGCUCUGAAUUUGGCAAUCUUAUCAUCCAUCUCCAUUCCUGAUGUAUUUAACUUGCUUUCCUUUUGCUUCUCUGUCCAAUCCAACAAAUGAUGUAGGGUAGCAUUCUUUUGACAUUCAAGCUUUGCCUUAGCAGCUCAAGCCCAAACACAGGCAAAUACUAGGGCUGUGUGAAGCUUCACCGGCUGUUCCAUUUCGAAGCUGUUUUGACUCGUUUCGAAACAGUAAAAUCAAAAUGAAUUGAAGGGCUUCGAAAGAGCCUUGAAACAAAAUGAGGCCAGUUGAAACAUUUUUAAACUUCUGAAAAGUUUCGAGUUUUGAAGCAGCAGCCAGGUGGUAGGAGGCAGGGGAGAGCCAGGGCUGUGCUGUGAGCGGCUCCACAGCCCCACGUGGUUCAGCCUGGUGGGCAGUGCAGCCCUGGCUCUCCCCGCCUCCCACCGCCGGACUGCAUUCUGUGGCACUGGCGGUGCCAAUCAGAGUGCAGCUGGCUCUGCCUGCCUCCUGAUGCUGGGCUGUGCUCUGAUCGGCUCCACCGGCCCCAUGGAGUUCAGCCCAGUGGUGGAAGGCAGGCAGAGCCAGUGCUGCGCUCUGCCUCCCGCCACUGGUCUGAAUUGCAUGGGGCUAUGAGCCACUGGGAACUGAGCCCAGUGGGGCAUAGGCGACUGGUAGGGGGUGCACGGGGCUGCACGUGCUCCCCCUGAUGGGGCCAGUGCCCCCCUGAUGGCCGACACUGAUGCUGUCGGUAGGGCUGGUGCCCCCCCGACAGGCCUGCUACCGUCGGUGGCUUCUGCAGGUGUGCCCUCCCAGAUUCUGGAGGCACCAGUCACUCAUGCGGUGGGGGGAAGUACAUCCCGCCACUGGGCUCAGUUCCCAGCAAUGGGGAACUCAGCCCGGCUGGGAGAAGCACCUCCUGGUGCCGGGCUCUGUUCCCAGCUCUGGGAAACAGCCCAGCUGGGGAAGAUGCCUCCCCCAGCCAGGCUUCAUCCCCAGUGCUGGGAAACUCAGCCCAGCUGGGGGAGGCAUGUCCUCCAACCAGGCUUCGUUUCUCAGCGCUGCGAACUGCUGGGAACUCAGCCUGGUGGUGGGAGGGCACCUCCCUCAACCAGGCUCAGUUCCUCAGUGCUGGGUCUGAGGCAGGAGCAGCCUCCUGUCAUCCAGCAGGCAGAUCAGGGACCCACCCACACCCUCAGGAGGGGCUGCAGGGGCUCUGCUGGACUCCUCCUGGGGGGUCAAGGCCCCCAAUCUGCCUGCUGGAUCAUAGGAUGCUGCUCCUGCUCCUGGGCUCCUGCUUGUCAGCAGCUUGAGGUGCAGUUUCCUAGAAACCCCUGCACCUAUAUCCUUGAAACUUGGCAGGCUUCAUGCCCUCAGAAGGGGCUACCAUCCCUGCAAGUUUAAUCGGAAUCAGGCAAGAUAUGACAAAGUUAUAGGUUGUUUCAUGCUUCCCCAUUAUAGCCUAUGGGCAAAACAGCGUCGAAACAGCAGAACCAUUUCGAUGAAACAGAACAGUGCUUUCAAAAUGAAAGAACUCAAAAUGAAACACUGUUCUGUCGAAACGGAAGUUGAAGCGAAACGCUGCUGUUUCGCACAGCCUUAGCAUUUCCAGUUUCGUGGAUGGUGCUUCCAGGGAGUGCAUAUGCACCCGUGUGCACCCCCUACAUGUUGCCAAUGAAACCGCUCUGUGUCUCCACAGCACUGACCCUUCAAAACAAUCAGCAAAUCGGUAAGCAAAACAAUUGGCAAAAUGCUAGGGACAGCACUAAAGAGCACCCUGGCACCACCUAGAGAGCACCUCAGAGCUAACAGCUUGUCAGCCACCAUCUGACAGCUUGAUUUAUAUUGAAAAGCAACACAAACUCUCACAGACACAUAGAUGAGAUUUGUUAGUGCCUGAUUAAUGGAACUAAUUAUAAAUUAACCCCUUCACACCCACCCAGGGAUGCCAAUCUGAAGCCAGGGAAAAUUACACGAGCACCGAAAGGCGGCUUCAGUUAAAUAGAUUAUAGUGGGCGAAAGGGGGCGUGAGCAGCCCAGGCUGACUCAGCUGUCACUGAAUUAGGCGGCCCAGCCUGGUUAUAGGGAUUAACACACAAGGAUACCAAAAUUAAAGUGAAAUGAAUGAAAUGGUUUAUUAUGAGACAGUAACCAUGUACAAUAAUUACAUACAACACACUAGCACAAGGAACACGAGGGGAACUAAGUACAUACAAAGCUAUACAUUACCAAUUCUAAGAUGUGAGAGCGAAGCUGAGGAAGCCCAUGAACAGCUUUGGAAACAUCAGCAGCAGUUCAGAAGCAUCAGGAGGACUGGAGACCAAUAGCGAUCACCCAACAAACUCUUUCAACAAUAGCAAGCAAGCAAUGACCACACCAGCAGCAGCCAACCAACCAACCAACCAGCAGGGAACCAGUCCCCCCCACCAACAACUCUUAUAUACUUGGGGUGCACACACCCCUCUCAGCUCUUCACACUGCACCUAACUGUGCACACAGUACACAAAUUCCCACCAAAAAUAAUAGUACCUGUCAAUCAAUAUAUUGUGCACGCAUUACUAAAAUUUUCAUGAGAUGUUAUGAUUUUUCACGUCUCUCUAUAUGGGAUUGAGAGGUAAAAAGGUCACUCCUUCUAGAAUGAUCCCACCAUACAGCACAGUGCGCAAGUAUAAAACAAACUUUUUUAUGCCUCAAACCAAUUCUAGCUACAGGCAUAAGAAUAAUUAUUUAAACAAUAGGAACAAUCUUCAGGGCCAACAAGAGAAGGAGUCUGUUCCCUUGUUCGUGUCUCUGCUUCCUUCUCUGGCACCUUCAUGCUCACUCCUACUUUGCCAGGGGCUUUGGCAGGAGAAAUCUCACUGCUCUGGGUUGCACUGUGCAGGUUCCCCUGCCCCUUUGUGCACAGCCCCUCUUUUCUCUGUGUCACUAUGCCCAUGUGUCCCAUGGUGCAAUAACAGGUGGCUGUGUCUGCCAGGGUGAGGGAGCGCAGCUGCAGGAGAGCUGGUUCCUGGAGGAGGUCACAGAAAUGCUGAUCCAGCCCUGGAGAGUUAGAGGUGGAGCUAGUGCUUCCCUGCUCAUUGCUGUUUCCCAGACACUGUAGGCCUUUCCUGGGGCUCUGCUGGACCCAGUCCCACCACAGCAGCUCCCUCUGGUGGAGCCAUCCUUGCCUUAGUGUUCAUUCCCUUCCCUGCCAUCUUCUCCUGGUGCGGAGAACCAUAGACAGUGAGACUGUUUCCCUUAGCUGCCCAGAUUAUCCUGGCAGUGGUUCACCCCCAGCUGGAGACCAAAGGUAAUGAGCCCUUGAAUACCAGACCUGGAAGCUCUGGGCAUGUGUCAGGCUGUGCAGGACUGAAACAGGACCAGACCAAAAAAUGUCACCUUCUAAGGUUUUUCUCAAUGUGCUUAGGCUCCAGAAACCACUUGCCCCUUUAGCACAGUCCCUACUUUCCUCUGGGCCAUGGUGCAUCUGUUGUGGCCAUUGCCUCCCCCAGACACUGUAAAAUGUGGCAGUGUCUGUGGCUGUUAGGGAGCACAGCUGCAGAAAGACCUGGUUCCUGGAUGAGUCUGCAGAGAUAGUGACCUAGCUCCCUAGGGAGGUUGACAGAUUCACAGAAGUCUCACAAGGUUGGAAGGGUUGGGUUCAGCCUUCCUGCUCUGGCCAGGAAAGAGUCUGGUCACAUGAACUGUGAAAAGUUUUUCCUUAUACCCAGUCUGAAACCUUCCAGGAGUUUAUAUCCAUCGCUCCUGGUUUUCCCCUUGGGUGCUUUGGUGAAUAGUUGUUUGCCUACCCGCUGAUGCUAUCCCCUGAUGUAUUUGUAAGCUGCCACCAAAUCCCUGCAAAGUCUUCUCUUUUCUAGGCUGAGCAGUCCCAUAUCUGUAAGCUUUUUCUCAUAUGGCUUGUUCUUCAGGCCUCUAAUUACACGAGUGUCUCUUCUCUGGACUCUCUCAAGCUUCUCCACAUCCUUCUUGAAGUGUGGUGCCCAGAACUGGAUGCAGUACACCAGCUCUGCCUUCACCAAUGCCGAAUAGAGCAGGAGAAUAACUUCCUUAGUUUUGCUUGAGAUGCAUUGGUUGAUGCAUGGCAGCAUAUUGUUUGCUUUGCUAACUGGAGCAUCACACUGGUGGCUCAUAUUCAUUUUAUGGUCAAUUAUAACCCCAAGGUCCCUUUUGGUUUUGGCCCUGUAAGUUGUGGAUUUUUGCUCCCCAAAUGGAGCACUUUCUCAGAAACUGCACCUCAAACUUCAAAAAGCAAAACUCGUGACACUUGCCAGCAGCGGCAGCCUCCUGUCAUCCGGCCCAGUGGUGGGAAGCAGAGGAGAGCUGGGGUUGUGCUCCGAGUGGCUCUGCAGCCCCAUGGAGCUCAGCCCGGUGGUGGGAGGUGGAGCGCAGCCCUGCCUCUGCCUGCCUCCUGCCGCCGGGCUGCGCUCUGUGGGGCUGGCAGAGCCGCUCAGAGCGGAGCCUGGCUGUUAGAGGUGGGCAGAGCCAGGGCUGCACUCUGCCUCCUGCCUCCAGCCUGAGCUCCAUGAGGCGGGCAGAGCCAGGGCUGAGCUCCAUGGGGCUGCGGAGCUGCUUGGAGAGCAGCCUGGUGGCGGGAAGUGGGGAGAGCCAGGGCUUCACUCUGACUGGCUCUGCCAAACCCCACAGAGCUCAGCCCAAUGGAGAGACAUGGGGAGAGCCAGGGCUGCACUCCACUUCCUGCUGCCAGGCUAAGUUUCCUUGGGCUGCAGAGUUGCUUGGAGCGCAGCCCUGGCUCUUCCCAGCUUCUUGCCACCGGGCUGCUUCGAAACUCAAAACGUUUUGAAACUUUCGAAAUGUUUCAAGUGCCCUCAUUUUGUUUUGAAGUGGUUUCAAAGCUUUUUGUUUUUUUUCAAUUUCUCUGUUUCAAGCUCGAAAGGCAUUGAAACAGCUUUGAGAUGAAACACUUGGCAAAAUUUUGCACAGCCCUAGUGCUUACAUGUGUAAAAAUGCCCCCAAAGCCCCUGAACCUGUCCCAGGUAAAACAGGGGGUCUAGGGCUGCUGGUGGGCUGCUGCUGCUAGGGAUGCUAAAUACACUUGAGAGACCCAAGGCAGAGGCCUUGCCCUCCCCACUCCCCCUGCCCUCCUCCCGCCCCCUACAGAGAAAGGAAAACCUCCUACAGUCCAUUUCAGCAUGACCACAGGGUAAAACUCCUUCCUGAUGCCAGAUGAGCGAAUCUGUGUAUUUUUGCCACAGGUCACGACAGACUAGGGGUGUCUGAAUACUUUGGGCAUCCUCAACAAUCCCCUCCCCUUGCUGAGCUCCUGCCUUGCCUCAGGGGAGCAUGCCUCCUUCACACAGACCCCCCCAGUGCAAACAAAUGUCAAAUGCUCUUAGCUCUUAUCCAUGGAAAUGCUCAGCUCUUAUGGAAAUUCCUGCCCAGCAGCUCCAGAGUAAAUACAGCCCCUGGGUACCCAGAUCCUCAGUCCAUGCCCAACCCCAGCCCUGCCCCCUUCCUGCCUUCUGGGAGUUUCACCCAUCCCAUGGACACAGGAAUGCAGCCCUCCUCCCUUUUCCCCUCUCCUCUUUUGUGUGUCCCUACCUGUAAGAGCCUUUGUGAGACCCCUGGACAUUAAGGAAUCCCUGGAGCUGUUCCUAUGUGAUUGACCUCCUUGUUUCUGUCCUGUUUUCUAACUCCUUUUUCUCACCAGUGCAGCUGAUCCAGUCCAGCCCAGGGGUGGUGAAACCUGGAGAGACCCUCACUCUGACCUGCAUUGUCUCCACUUACACCAUCAGCACUGGAGAACAUGCAAAGGAGGCCUAUAUGCAGUUUAGAGAUGAACGUUUCAUUAAGAAAACAAAGAAGCUUUCGGAUACCAUGAAGAAAGUAAAAUGUCCUGGAUUUGUUUCUGAUGGAGAUAAACAGGUAGAAAAACAUAAACCAACUACAGCAUCAGAAAAGAAAUCCUACUCUGCAGCCGAGAAAAUUCUACGCAUAUCGAAGGAUGGAGGAUAGUGUGUUAAGACCAUACUGAAGUAUGAUCUGUGGCCAUCUAACAAGGUAUUUGAUGAUUGUGGGCUUCUUACUAAACCAACCAAGUCAUCCAUUUAUUUGAUGCAGUUUCAUCCGGUUUCACAUGUGUCAUGAUACAGAUGUUUUUGUCUGUCUUCAAUAUCUGUUUCAACUGUUUGAAAAAGGACUUUUGGAACUUUGGAUUAAAGUAGUCUUUGCUGUUAAAGUAAGAUUUGUUCCUCCUCACACGCUUGGACAGAAACUAGAACCAACUUUGUGCAAUGUUGUUAUUAAGGCUCACAUUCUCGCAGAAUAUGAUGUCACCAGCAAAAUGGGAACAAAACUGUCAGCAUUGAACAUAUCACCAGAGGAGUUCCUUUUAGGUUUUGCUGAUGAUAGCACACUUUCUGAGGACGUAGUUAACAGUGCUGAAGAAUACCUUGUUAAGGUCCUCAGCCAUCACUUUAUUGCAAAACAUUUAAUGAGCUUCAUUUUGCAUUGUACAAAAGUAAAACUAUUUCACAGCUUCCCCCCA
RNA transcript from Alligator mississippiensis (American alligator), 21678 nucleotides. It is a transcript of the gene named syncytin-A-like, with no coding region annotated. NCBI's taxonomy places the organism in Eukaryota, Metazoa, Chordata, Crocodylia, Alligatoridae. The transcript has 2 exons. The record is from RefSeq and is a predicted model, not a curated record.